Molecule: ribosomal RNA, 98 nt
Filed under: Salmonella enterica subsp. enterica serovar Heidelberg str. 622737-12
Lineage: Bacteria; Pseudomonadati; Pseudomonadota; Gammaproteobacteria; Enterobacterales; Enterobacteriaceae
Also listed under: 1 other name
Source: RNAcentral
CACUAGCGCGGUGGUCCCACCUGACCCCAUGCCGAACUCAGAAGUGAAACGCCGUAGCGCCGAUGGUAGUGUGGGGUCUCCCCAUGCGAGAGUAGGGA